UUGCACGCCGGCGGCAGGCCUAACACAUGCAAGUCGCGCGGAUGAAGGGAGCUUGCUCCUGGAUUCAGCGGCGGACGGGUGAGUAAUGCCUAGGAAUCUGCCUGGUAGUGGGGGAUAACGUCCGGAAACGGGCGCUAAUACCGCAUACGUCCUGAGGGAGAAAGUGGGGGAUCUUCGGACCUCACGCUAUCAGAUGAGCCUAGGUCGGAUUAGCUAGUUGGUGGGGUAAAGGCCUACCAAGGCGACGAUCCGUAACUGGUCUGAGAGGAUGAUCAGUCACACUGGAACUGAGACACGGUCCAGACUCCUACGGGAGGCAGCAGUGGGGAAUAUUGGACAAUGGGCGAAAGCCUGAUCCAGCCAUGCCGCGUGUGUGAAGAAGGUCUUCGGAUUGUAAAGCACUUUAAGUUGGGAGGAAGGGCAGUAAGUUAAUACCUUGCUGUUUUGACGUUACCAACAGAAUAAGCACCGGCUAACUUCGUG
This 483-nucleotide ribosomal RNA is filed under the name uncultured bacterium. Its description in RNAcentral is "partial 16S ribosomal RNA". It matches the Rfam family "Bacterial small subunit ribosomal RNA", at positions 30 to 507 of the family's 1533-position model. The record is from RNAcentral.